Long non-coding RNA from Aegilops tauschii subsp. strangulata, 2569 nucleotides. RefSeq lists it as uncharacterized. The record is from RefSeq and is a predicted model, not a curated record. Lineage: Eukaryota; Viridiplantae; Streptophyta; Magnoliopsida; Poales; Poaceae.
UCCCCCACGUUAUCUAUUUUCCUACAUGGUGUUUGUUACAGACAGCUGACUAGAUACCUUUAUACAUGCCCUAAAGUUGCCUCCACUCUUUCUCCUGUACGGUUCCAUGAUGGGGAUUUUUCUAAUCGCCAUCGCUAUCCUGUUUGGCUCUAGGCCUUCACGAAUCAAUCGGAUUCUUUCGGCUUCCACCGCCCAUCGUAGCCGCCGGGAGAUUGAGGAUUUGCAACGCGUGAGCGGGUUCGCCGCUAUGCGCUGGACGCCGCCUGAGGUACUGCGCUGCAUCCCCUUGGAGGGCCGCGACCUCGCGAUGAUGCGCCCCGCUGCCAGCCAGGAGGGCAAGGCCCCGCCGUCGCGCUCGAUGGGGUCGUUGUGCCACGCGCUGGAUGCUGCGGGGUGGCCAUGGCUGCCAGUGUAGGUCGCUGCCGCGAACCGCGACGCGGCGAUCCGCAUCAGGAGGAUCCGCCGUGCGAUGCUUCUGGACCGCCGGGAGGAGCACCAUCAAGGCCGAAGGCCGCCGCGUCCUUGGCGCCGGAUAGCGUCGCCGCCGGAGCCGUGCACCACGGUCUCGUCGUUGGGAUGAGCAUGGCGUCGCCGUUCCUCUUCUCUGGUUCUUCUUUCAUUCCUUUUCGCUUGUUGCGUGGGCUAAUGCUCUUGGUAGAGGCGUGCGUGAUAACUUUCUCUGGCUACGGACAACACGUGAAAACAAAUCGCUCGUUCCAACUCGCGCGCGAAGGAGCGUUUCCGAUUUCUCAUUGAUUGAAGACCGGGUAUUUAUACCCACUUUACAAGGCAGUUAGGAUUACAAUGUUGGUAACUACAACAGACUUAAGCAUUGAUUAUUAGGAUUAAAUUAAUCUUUAACAGUAUCCUCGGCCGAAAUAAUCAAAGGGCAAACAAGUUUCUUUUUUAGAGCGAAGGCUCAAGAGGAGCCCGGCUUUGAAUUAACGAAGCUAUCAACCGGUCAGGAUUACACAAGGCCAUCAAGCAGAGCGACCGAAAGAUACAAUGAAGCUGUGUGAACAGCAAACAAUGCAACCGACACUACAGCAGAAAGAAAAAUACAUGAAGAGCCCUGUUAGUAAUGUCGAAGCCUACUGCAUAUAAUCAGCAGAGAGAGGAGCAACAGAGAAGCCUCAGUGAUCAGCCGAUAGCCUGAGAAAGUUGUGAACAGUCUGAACCCACGGACAAGGGAAGAGCAUUGCUCCCCACGCCGAAGAGGAACCCUUUCCUCUCGCCUACGCUUGAAGGCGCCGCACCGGAUCGUUGGCGCUCGGAUCCCAUCGCAGACAAGUUGCGCUAUCCUCUCCUGCCGCCGCCGCCGCCGCCUCAGCCUCGUCCGCCUCCUCUCCUGCAGCCGCCGCCACCUCGGCCUCGGCCGUCUCGUGCUCUGCCGGCGCCCGUCCGCCUCGAUCCGCCCGCUCCUUCGUCGGGUGGCGACGGACGGACGGUGAGGAGGGGGCGACCGGGUCGGCGAGAAGCUGCGAUUUAGCGUUGUCACCGCCUCUCAGCACGCAGCCUCUCCUUUCCUAUCUCCUCUGCGGCUCGCCCUCUUCCUCCGGCCGCAUCCAACCCCAUAGUCAUCUCCUACUUCCCUCUCUUAUUCCCCUCUGCGUACACGAGAUGGGCCAAGCCGGCACACAAGGCAAAGGGCGGCGGUGGCUCCGACGCGGGCGCCGUAGAGGUGGAGGCGGAGCUGUGGCGGCUGGUGGUGGACGGCCGCGUCAGCGACGUCAGCCUCGACGAGUUCCAUCACCUUCACUGCUACUUCAGGAGGCUGGUCUGGAUUAGGUCCGUUUCUUGGAGUAUGACAAGCUGAUGGUGAUCCUCACGCUGACAAAAUAAUAAAACAUUCAGUGCUGGAGCUUCCAAAGGGAUCUUCAUCCAGUGAUGAAGAUGGAUCCUGCAUAGAAAAUGAUUCCUCAAAGCAUCUGAAGCUGAGCUACAGAAUUUUGACUUGUGACAUCGAGGAAGGAGAUUAUUAUGUGUAUGACAAAGAUGAAGGCUGCUAUGGGAAUGGCGAUGAAGGGUCUGAUUAUGAAUUUGAUGAAAGUGACUUUAAUCAGCAAAUUGACUUGAAUCAGCAGCUGGAUUAUAAAUUCGACAAUUUGGAUUACAGAUACUCUGACAGCAAGGUUAUUCCACAUGUAUGGUCUAAUCAAAUAUUUGUGGUAAGGAUGAACAUCAGUAUGAGGAGAAAACAUCUGAACUAAAAUUACAAGCUUCAAAGGCUUUUUAAGAGAAAUGAAUAUAUCACAGCAGGAUGUAUGUAUUCAGAUCAGGAGGAGCUCGCCCUUGAGACAGGAGGAGGGGAGCAGCAGCCGCGCCCCGUACUCCGCUGGUGCCCGUCGGCCUCGAUCCGUCCUUGGCAGGAGGAGCUCGAGCCGAGGAGUGCAACCUUGAUCCGGACUCGGUAGGAGGAGGGAAGCAGUAGCCGGAGCGCCUCGUAGCUGUUAGAUGUGUGUAGUCUUUUUUUGGUAUAUCCCCAUUGUAUAAGGGGUUUCCUGCACUUUGACACAUGUAUAUGUAAUGGCCUUUGGCCCUCAGUAAAGUUCAGUUGCUGAUUAUACAA